GCCGUGGACGAUGAUACACACUUGAUGCAUUUCCAUAUUGGGUUAAAGCCCGUGCGGAAAACAUUUGGAGACCUGAACUGACACGCU
Non-coding RNA from Chlamydomonas reinhardtii, 87 nucleotides. The record is from Rfam. Lineage: Eukaryota; Viridiplantae; Chlorophyta; Chlorophyceae; Chlamydomonadales; Chlamydomonadaceae.